AAUAAUCUGUGUUUCAUGAUGUCUAGGUUCUUCCCACAACCUUUACCACUGGCUGGUCCUAGCAGCAAUUGUGCUCUUUAUUCUGGCAGUAGUUGUCAUCUUAAUUCUAGCAGCAGUAGCUUUAGUUGUCAAAUGCUGUAAGAGAAAUAAACAAGCAGUACAAGAAAUUCAAAAAGCAGAGGCGAUACAAUUGACAUAUCACAUAAACAACAAUAUGGGGAGUGAUGAAGUUACUGUAUGACUGGUUUCAAAUGGAGUUAAACAGCACGUUUAAUGCAGUCAUUUCAUGCAAAGGAUUUGCCGGACAGUGUGUUUCCUGCAUUCAUGAAGAUGUUUGAUCGUGAUGUCUGAUCUUCCUCUCUUUAACUACUCUGGAUCUGAUUUUAAACACCAUACAGUCAUCACCACCAGGACAGAAAUGUUUUGGAUUACAACUUUAGUGAAACAUGAGUCUCACAUCAGAAAAUCUCAUUGAAAUCUUGCGAUGUCUCCUGCAGACUUAAACAAACAUGUUUGACCUUGGGCAUAAAGAAAUGGCAUUAAUGCUAUAUGUGGACUGCUUUUUACAUCUUUGAUGUCAAGUGUUAUUUUGGACUGUGCCUCCUACACCUUGAUUGCGGUUGUUAUGCUGUACGUUUUGUCUUUCAUCAUCUCGCUUUCUGAUUGGGUAUUGUUUCGUUCCACGUGACAGUCUACAGUGUGUAGAUUCUAACCAUUGUGCUUCCGAGCAGAUUCAAGUCACUAAACACACCACAGAAAAAUCGGAUAAGAUAAUCGGUACAACCAAAGACGAUUGGGACCUUUACCAAGGGGGAAAAUCGACAUAAUUUUGGCCAGAUUAUCUUCUAGUCUGUGACGGCAUGACCGCAGCAUUGACUGCAGAGAACCAGCAGACUGAAGAACAGUUUCUACCCACAUUUUAAAUAAAGACACUAAAGGUCUUUACCCACUGCCAGUGAUGCAAUAAAAAGAGGCGAAUCGCCUACAAACUGUGACCAAAUGAUUGUUCGCCUUGAGCAGUUUCAUGCCUGGCAUUUAGAUGUUACUGAUCAAGAUUGGAUUUUUUAUCUUUAUUUAAGGAUGUCUGUCUGUCAGUUUGAAGUGGCUCCUUUGUUGAUUAAAUCUAAAACCCUAUUCGGACGGGAUUAGUUAGGGUGUAGAUGGAGUAAUGUUAUUUUACCAUAGGACGUCUAUAAUAUUGAUUGUCAAAUCGCACGGGAUUAGAAAUCUUCAGUAAAUUAGUUGCUUCCUGAUAUGUCUUUUUUACAUUCUAUGGUGCAAACACGCAACAUGACGCCAACGAGAAAAACUCGAAAUCGGACCAGCGUGUUUAAUUUCGGUUUGGGGAGAACGUCAGUUUCAGGAACAGUGUACAUUUUAUGAAAUUCUUCUAUUUGUUCUUUUGUUAAGUUAUUUUGGUGAUAUUAUUUAGCAGUGAGAGAGUUUUUGUUACUUUGUACUGUAUUUUAGAUUAAAAUGUUGCAUCUUUUAUAAAAUCUAUUGUUUAUGGGUGAUAAUUGGGCCAUCAGGUAAAAUGGGCCAUUUAAGGUUUGAGUGUCCUAUCUCUUUAAAUGUUAACAGCCAAUGACUGCAAAGGAUUUUAAACUGAUGCCAUAACAGUACUUGAAAUUAAGCCAAUGAUUUUAUUUGUUUGAUGUUGCUAUUGGGGGGGGGGGGUGAGGCCACAAUUUGAGGGAGGUCAGAAAAAAGUUGGUAAACUUGAUGCAAUCUUACUUAUCAAUAAAUAAAGAUUAUAAAUAACAUAUAAAACAAAUGCACAUUUACAUUUUUGUUUAUAAUCUUUGUCUUGAGAGUCUUUGUAAAAUAAAAUGCAGAUUUUACCAAAUAAUCCAGAUUUUUAUACAAAGAAAAGCAUUUAUAGUUACUGGCCCAAUUUACCUGAUGGUGUUAAGAUAAAAUGAGCCAUUGAUUUCAGUUGAAAUGGGCCACCUUCUGAGUUUAAGCAAAUAUUUUGGUGGUUACUCUUAAUAAAACUGAUUUAUAUUAUUAAUAUACAUUGUAUUGUUACUCAUUAAAAAUGGGGGAAAGAAAUGCUUUGAUACAAGUGAUAUGUGGUAAAGUAUCCUAAUGGUUAGCUAUUUAUUAUAGACAGCAUGAAAAACAGAAAAGAAAUAAUAGGGUCAUAAAGGAAUGGAAAGGAGAUUGAAACGAAAUGCAAAGCAUCCCUUUCAACGACGUGGCAAAAAAUUCAAUCAGUGAGUAGCAGAGAGAAUGAGAGGAGCAUUGGAGGACUAUAGCAAGAAUGUUGAGAGAGGCCUGAAAGUUCAGGUUGUUUUAUUUUUCUUAAAGUGUCUUUGACAAAUCUCUAUAUAUUUAUACAUAUCACUAAGUAGCCUAUAGUAGCCAACUUAUUAUUGUUAUAGAAUUUUUUUUUAAAGGCCUACAUAUGUUUAUGACAUUGACAGAAUUUUUUUUUAAAUGAAUGUUUAAAUGUGAUUUAAAUUGAUGUUCCAAUGUAAUUUAAAUCCAAUGUUACACUGUUACGUUAUAAAAUUAAAUGUAUUUUAUUUUAUCAGAAACGUCCCUUUCAGUUUUCAGCUUGACUGGCACACUUUUGCUGAUCAGCCAGUCCAUUUUACCUGAUCACUGCUAAACUUGAAAACACUUAAAAAAUUGUGUGGCAGCUAAUUUUUCAAAACCUAUAGGGUCAGAACAACUUUAUUUUAAUAUAUGAAUUUAACACAAAUAUUAAAAACUGUCCUAAUUAACCAUUAGCACAUAAUUAAAUGUCAUACAUAUCCAGUCUGAUUAUAUAUAAUAUGUCACACCAGAGGGCGCCACAUACAAGUACAGUGUUUAUUAUAAAUUCCUUUAGACAGCAAACCCUCUUGAUACGAAUGGAAAAACACACAAUGUCCUGGCUGUAACCAAGACUGCAUCCCAAUUUAAAGGCUGGAUCCCAAUUUAAAGGCUGGAUCAUUUAAUUAACCAUUAGCACACAAUUAAAUGUCAUACAUGUUUUUUUUUUUUUGUGUAUGAACCGAUUAACCAAAAAGUGGCCCAAUUUACCUGAUAUAACCCCUAUUAUAUAUAUCAAGUCUGAUUAUAUAAUAUGUCACACCAGAGGGCGCCAUAUACAAGUACAGUGGUUAUUAUAAAUUCCUUUACCCUCUGGAUACGAAUGAAAAAAUCUGACUGUAACAAAGGCUGCAUCCCAAUUUAAAUUCUGGAUCCUUUGAAUGCCACUUAAUGGAAUCCUAAAUGGGACUAACCUUCUGAUGAUUGAUCGCCUAGCAACAGUUUGAAAGAUGAGUUGGCAUCUUGACAUGUUAUUUGCUUAACAAAUGUAUAAGUAGUAUGGGUAUACUUGAUGAAAUAUACAAUGAAAUAUAUAUAUAUUUUUAAUGUAAAGUAAAGAUCAUAUUCAAUGAAGAUAUUUGGUAAAUUUCCUUCUGUAAAUAUAUAAAAAAAUAUAUUUAUCUUUAAUAUGUGUUGCUAAGGACUUGAUUUUCUUAAUAUCUUGAUUUGUUGCAACCUCAGAUUCCAGAUUACCAAAU
Non-coding RNA from Misgurnus anguillicaudatus (oriental weatherfish), 3518 nucleotides. NCBI's taxonomy places the organism in Eukaryota, Metazoa, Chordata, Actinopteri, Cypriniformes, Cobitidae. The record is from RefSeq and is a predicted model, not a curated record.